AGCGUAGGCGGCAGUGCAAGUCGGGAGUGAAAACUUGGGGCUCAACCCCAAGACUGCUCUCGAAACUGUGCAGCUAGAGUGCAGGAGGGGCAGGCGGAAUUCCUGGUGUAGCGGUGAAAUGCGUAGAUAUCAGGAGGAACACCGGUGGCGAAGGCGGCCUGCUGGACUGUAACUGACGCUAAGGCUCGAAAGCGUGGGGAGCGAACA
Molecule: ribosomal RNA, 207 nt
Filed under: uncultured Eubacteriales bacterium
Lineage: Bacteria; Bacillati; Bacillota; Clostridia; Eubacteriales
Description: uncultured Clostridiales bacterium partial 16S ribosomal RNA
Rfam family: Bacterial small subunit ribosomal RNA
Source: RNAcentral